AUUGAACGCUGGCGGCAGGCCUAACACAUGCAAGUCGAGCGGAUGAAGGGAGCUUGCUCCUGGAUUCAGCGGCGGACGGGUGAGUAAUGCCUAGGAAUCUGCCUGGUAGUGGGGGAUAACGUCCGGAAACGGGCGCUAAUACCGCAUACGUCCUGAGGGAGAAAGUGGGGGAUCUUCGGACCUCACGCUAUCAGAUGAGCCUAGGUCGGAUUAGCUAGUUGGUGGGGUAAAGGCCUACCAAGGCGACGAUCCGUAACUGGUCUGGGAGGAUGAUCAGUCACGCUGGAACUGGGACACGGUCCAGACUCCUACGGGAGGCAGCAGUGGGGAAUAUUGGACAAUGGGCGAAAGCCUGAUCCAGCCAUGCCGCGUGGGUGGAGAAGGUCUUCGGAUGGGAAAGCACUUUAAGUUGGGGGGAAGGGCAGUAAGUUAAGACCUUGCUGUUUUGACGUUACCAGCAGAAUAAGCACCGGCUAACUUCGUG
This 484-nucleotide ribosomal RNA is filed under the name uncultured bacterium. Its description in RNAcentral is "partial 16S ribosomal RNA". It matches the Rfam family "Bacterial small subunit ribosomal RNA", at positions 30 to 507 of the family's 1533-position model. The record is from RNAcentral.